UAAGCAUAUCAAUAAGCGGAGGAAAAGAAACCAACAGGGAUUGCCUCAGUAACGGCGAGUGAAGCGGCAACAGCUCAAAUUUGAAAUCUGGCCCCCUCGGGGUCCGAGUUGUAAUUUGGAGAGGAUGCUUCGGGUGUGGCCCCGGUCUAAGUUCCUUGGAACAGGACGUCACAGAGGGUGAGAAUCCCGUACGUGCCCGGUGGUCGCCCCCGUGUGAAGCUCCUUCGACGAGUCGAGUUGUUUGGGAAUGCAGCUCAAAAUGGGUGGUAAAUUUCAUCUAAAGCUAAAUAUUGGCCAGAGACCGAUAGCGCACAAGUAGAGUGAUCGAAAGAUGAAAAGCACUUUGGAAAGAGAGUUAAACAGUACGUGAAAUUGUUGAAAGGGAAGCGCUGGCAACCAGACUUGCGCGGGGUCGAUCAUCCGGUGUUCGCACCGGUGCACUCGGCCCCGCGCAGGCCAGCAUCGGUCUGGGCGGCUGGAUAAAGGCCUUGGGAAUGUGGCUCUCUUCGGGGAGUGUUAUAGCCCAAGGUGCAAUGCAGCCCGCCUGGACCGAGGACCGCGCUCCGGCUAGGAUGCUGGCGUAAUGGUUGUCAGCGACCCGUCUUGAAACACGGACCAAGGAGUCUAACAUCUAUGCGAGUGUUUGGGUGUCAAACCCAUACGCGUAAUGAAAGUGAACGGAGGUGAGAACCCUUAAGGGUGCAUCAUCGACCGAUCCUGAUGUCUUCGGAUGGAUUUGAGUAAGAGCAUAGCUGUUGGGACCCGAAAGAUGGUGAACUAUGCCUGAAUAGGGUGAAGCCAGAGGAAACUCUGGUGGAGGCUCGCAGCGGUUCUGACGUGCAAAUCGAUCGUCAAAUUUGGGCAUAGGGGCGAAAGACUAAUCGAACCAUCUAGUAGCUGGUUCCUGCCGA
This 911-nucleotide ribosomal RNA is filed under the name Oidiodendron maius. Its description in RNAcentral is "LSU rRNA". It matches the Rfam family "Eukaryotic large subunit ribosomal RNA", at positions 35 to 964 of the family's 3401-position model. Lineage: Eukaryota; Fungi; Ascomycota; Leotiomycetes; Myxotrichaceae. The record is from RNAcentral.